CUGAAGUGGGAGCUGUCUUUGCAGUGCUGUACGUCUUCUACGUGCUUGGUGCACUCUUCUGGGGUUACGUCUCGUCUUACAAGAAAAGGAGCAUGUUACGAUAUUAUUGGGCUUUGUCCUCCUGGUUCUCUCCUUCGUUUUCGUGGGUCCUGCGCCCUUCCUGCCGUUUGAACCAAGGCUGUGGCUAGUGUACAUUGCACAGGCCCUCUGCGGCGCCGGUGCAUCGGCGGUCGUCGUCUGCAGCUUUAGUCGUGCCAUCAAAAGAGCUAUGUGAGUCUGCCAUUGCACUCAGAGUAUAGAGA
Long non-coding RNA from Ornithodoros turicata, 302 nucleotides. RefSeq lists it as uncharacterized. The transcript has 3 exons. The record is from RefSeq and is a predicted model, not a curated record. NCBI's taxonomy places the organism in Eukaryota, Metazoa, Arthropoda, Arachnida, Ixodida, Argasidae.